UACGGAGGGUGCAAGCGUUAUCCGGAUUUACUGGGUUUAAAGGGUGCGUAGGUGGGUGAGUAAGUCAGUGGUGAAAUCUCCGGGCUUAACCCGGAAAAUGCAUUGAAUACUAUCCGGCUGGAGGGUUGGAGGGGGGACUGGAAUUCUCGGUGUAGCAGUGAAAUGCGUAGAUAUCGAGAGGAACACCAGUGGCGAAGGCGGCGUCCUGGACCAACACUGACACUGAUGAGCGAAAGCCAGGGGAGCAAACGGG
This 253-nucleotide ribosomal RNA is filed under the name uncultured prokaryote. Its description in RNAcentral is "partial 16S ribosomal RNA". It matches the Rfam family "Bacterial small subunit ribosomal RNA", at positions 524 to 776 of the family's 1533-position model. The record is from RNAcentral.